RNAcentral lists this long non-coding RNA (1120 nucleotides) under Equus caballus (horse). Its description in RNAcentral is "lncRNA (ENSECAG00000029901.3)". Lineage: Eukaryota; Metazoa; Chordata; Mammalia; Perissodactyla; Equidae. The record is from RNAcentral.
GGCAAACCUUGGUUACAGGAAGGUGAACAGUAGACGGAGACUUCCUUUCCCAACAAUAUUGGCAGAGUGAAUAUCCUGAAAAACUAUCCUGCUGCAAAGCUCCUAAGACUAUGAGUAUGUGGUAGCAGAGAAUACAGUGACAACUGGAAUGGUUUGGUGCCACCAUCUUGAUUCAUCUUAAGGCACCAAAAAUUUUACCCACUACUGUCUUUGUACCAUCGGAGCAAGCGUCAACACGAUGAAAAAGCAAUUUGGCCAGAAAUUAUCCAGGAUCCAUUUUUCUUUGUGUAUUUCCAGUUCAAAAUAGUAGGAUGGAAAGAAGUAGAAAUAAAUUUUCUCCAGGCUUCUCGAAGCUUCCUUAUGGGGUUUAGAGUGGAGAGGCAAAAUCGGCAACAGAUAUUGAUUCAUUUAUUGAGAAAAUACUUACUGAGUGCCAUUUCAAUUCAACGUCACCACUUCCAUAUGGAAAGGAACUAUCCCUCUGGAAUGUUCCCUCAGUUGGUAGAGGUCAGCAGUGCAAGGAGCCGUGCACAUAUGUUUCUACAAGCUACAGAAAAAGGCUAUGCCAUGGAUCCCACAUCUCUUUUCACUCAUUCCAAGAGUUUGCACACAGUGAAAACCAAUUUCUUUGCCCCAGUGCAAAGAACGGUGGUUUCUCCACAACUGAAGUUGGACAUUAAUCUGAUCCAUCAGGUCAUUGUCAAAGAGGAGCUGAAGGCCCCUUUGUAAUUUCUGCGUUAAUGUUGCUCUCCUGGCAAGCAGACAACCGCAUGAGAGAAGUCAGCCAAGGAGAGUCUUUAAAUGGAAGUUGUGCAUACGAGGAGCAAAUGCAUUAAAAAGUUGCUGACGGGCAUGAAACGCUUUGAUCUGAAGAUGGAAACUCCAAAGCAGGAAGGAUUUGGGGCAUUUUGAGUCUGAUUGACUCUGUGGUUUCCCUGCACAAUUAUUCCAUGGGCUAAAAUAAAUGCAGAAAUGGUAUUUUGAGACUACAGCUGUGGAGGGGAGUGUGGUGAAUUUCAAUGAAAAUCCAGUUGAAUCUUGAAGUUCAGAUCUUAAAAAAGCAAGGGACAUGAGAGAAGGAAUAUUGUUUCCUGAAAUUUCUCUGUUUUUAUUUAAGAGA